CAUAUUACCACCACCCAGUGUCCUCACAAGUCAUGAUAGUCAUCAUGAUGCAGCUAGAGUUAUAAAGACCAGAGUUUGACUCCCAGCCUUUGAAAACGAUGUUCCUUGGGGGUAGGAGCAUGCUCUCACCCUUGUCUUCUAACUAUCUCUCUCAUCCUUUAAGACUCAGUUCAGAACUUGACUCUUCAGGGGAAGGCUUCUCUGAGUCCUGAAGCUGGCUGCCUCACUCACAGCUUUCUCUGCAACGGGUGCCUCCACAAUUGUGAUGGAGAAUGACAUGCCCCAGCAUAAUGCCUAAACCCAAGUGUCAACCUGCCCUUGACAGAGAAGAGAACCCCAAAUGAAUCUCCCAGGCAACACAAGCUGACCCAACAUAGCAGAGCAAGUCACCUUUGAGGAGAAAGAAUGAUGCUUAUUUUCUCCUCCAAAGACCUACUUGGAAAGUAGACAUGAUUUAUUACAAAUCUCUUCC
Molecule: long non-coding RNA, 472 nt
Filed under: Pongo abelii (Sumatran orangutan)
Lineage: Eukaryota; Metazoa; Chordata; Mammalia; Primates; Hominidae
Description: lincRNA
Source: RNAcentral